Molecule: long non-coding RNA, 1664 nt
Filed under: Physcomitrium patens
Lineage: Eukaryota; Viridiplantae; Streptophyta; Bryopsida; Funariales; Funariaceae
Description: long non-coding RNA (PPAT_LNC000193)
Source: RNAcentral
CUCUUCACAAUGACAGGAGCUUUCUCAAGCUCAAAACUGAGUUUAUGCUUCGAAGUUGUGAACAGUGGAUGUUGGUUUUGUUUUGUUCUGCUUUGAUUUGUUUUUGUUUUUAUUUAUUUAUUUGUGUUUGUUCUUUUCAAUAAGAGAACCUGGUUUUAAUGCAAGUUUUGAGAAGCAUUUUGACAACAGAAUGUUGCAAUGCAACAGUGGACGAGGCGCAUUCUCCUCCUCCUCCCCCUCCUGCUGCUGCUGCUAAUUUACUCCUGAGCUCCACACUCGGACUGCUUCAGCCACAACUGAGAACCAUCCACAGACACUCGCGGGUAACCGGAGAUUGAGGUUGAGGUUGUGAAGCUCAGGCACAGCAAAGGGAACAAACAAACCAGCUGCACCAAGUCACAGGAGCCACGCCAUCGAUGCCUUUAACCCACUAUCUUCUCCUUCGGUGGGGUCCUCAUUCUGGCGAGGACGUUACAACCUGGUUUGUGUUUUCCUGUCUCGAAGCUUUGAUCCCCGAAUGCAUCGAUUUAUGGAUGGGUGGGUGGGUUGGCGCAGCGUGGACACACAACCACAGUUGCCCCUCGAAUGCCGAAGAAGCUAAGUGUUUGUUGGUCAUUAGAGUCCCUGGAAAGGGCAGCACAUCAAGGAUUUUCUGAGCACGCAUCGUCCUGGCUAGGGCCCUGGUCGCUCCAUUGUCGCCCUCCUCCCCAGCCAUCGGGCCCCUUUUACCCCACCUUUGCAAAAUUCUGCUUUAUUGCGCACUCUGCGCAUGCAACACACUUAACAUUUUGCAUCAAAUGGUUCACACGGAGCUCUAUUUCCGAUUGUUUCUUUCCGCAUACCCCCCCCCCCCCCCCCCCAUACCUUCAUUCGGAUUCCGGGCCAUUGCGCAGGCAGCAAUUAUAGACUUUUGAUCUGAGCUUCCCAACCCUUGGGAAAAAACCCCCAUGACUGAUCCUGUGCCUCAUCACUCCAGAAGGUUGCAAUCUGCCUUGCGGGCACGAAACCAGGACUCGAUCCCCUGGGAAACUCGGGUGACUGUGUUCCAUCGGUUGCGUUGUUGACGUUGCAUGGUAAUUCUCACCAUUGUUCAGGACAUCGUUGUAUGUUGGGCUACAGAUAGGAACGUGAUAUCACCAACACGAGCUCGAGCUCUAGGGGAGUGAGCCAUUUCUACAUAUUGUUCCUAUGUUAUAUUUCAGUGUGCAGAUAUAACAUUAUAUGGCUGAAAUUUACUAAAACAUACAAAAAGCAAGUUUCAUACAUCUUGGCACUUGUCUAUCAAUAAAUACUUCAGGAGUUUUAAUUGAUUUGUUAAAAAAAAAAAAAAAAAAAAAAAAAAAAAGUUACUGGUCGUAAGCACAAAACAAAAAACAUCGUGUUUUUAUUGCAGUUGGUAGAAGUGACGACGAGGGAACAGACGUAUCAGAAACAAAAUCUGCCCCCCCCCCCCAAUUGAUAAAUUGACGUGUGUAAUAUUGAUAGAGAAAUAAAGUCAAAAAAGGUGGAAGAGGUAAACUAGAAAAUUCUACCCAAUUUAGACACAUCAGAAAUCAGCAAGUAUAUUUUGUGAAAAGAAUUAAUCUAUGGCGAAUAACUUGUUGCAUAAAGCGUGAUCGCAUUACCUGAAAUAAGAUAGGACGCAAGAGCUCUUUGUGUCUGGC